GUCGUGCGGGCACAAAGAGCCAAGCCGCGCGCGCAAAAAGACCGACCCUUUUUUUUAGGCGGCGCGCCGAAAGGAGUGUCGGAUGGCGACGUCACGGCCGACGCCGCAAAGGAAAUCUCCCGCCGCCACGUUCACACGAUAAAAAAAAGAGAUUUGUGCGGCUUCGAGGCUCUGGCCUGCCGCGAGGGCACAACCAAGACGAUCGCACCGCCAACGUGAAAAAAGGCAAGGAGAAAAAAAAAGAAUACAAAGUCGCUACACCGCACCGCCAGAGUGCGCGCGAUGCACUAUCAAACGCCCCUUUUUUGUGAAAGGACGGCAGAAAGAGCGCGACGCAUUUCUUUUUAAAAAAAUCGCUCUUGUUUCUCGGCCUUGUGUUUCCCCUCCCACAUGGGCGUGCAGGGUCGGGUGACACAUUGGACAUCAUCAAAUCGUGCCAUAGGGCGCGGCGAGGGCGCGCGGACCGAGCACCCGGUAGAGGCAGGCAAAGGCGCCGACGGCGGCACCCGCGGCCAUGGAUACGCACAGGACCGUCUCUGCCCCCAGCCCAUCGAUGCCGUCGCGCAUGGCCACCGUCCCCGACGUCUGGUGCUCGUGACAGGUCGACGUGGUGCCCACGGGAUACAGGUUCCAAUAGGCCGGCACCAAGAGGGCACUCAUCCACGAUUGGCCAUACAAGAGGCGAGGGCGCGCCAUUGCCACCUUGCCUGCGCCGCGGCCAUCGACCGAGGCCAGGCGCACGCCGAUGCCGGGCACCUGGGCCAUGCCGCCAUCUUGUUGAAAGCGCGUCUCUAGGAUCGUGUGGUUGAGCACAGUGCAAACCCGUUCGCGGGCGCCAUUGGCGAGUGCCCAUUGCGGACCCAAACGCUCGCCAAACCACGGACCCAGCGCGAUGGCGGCGACCGCCAACGCACCCAGAACCGCCCACACGAGUGCCCAACGGCGCCUGAGACGCGGUACGCACAUGCGCUCUCGGACGGCGCAUCGAAUCACGUCGGCCAUGGGAUCGAUCUCAUCGUCAUCUUUGAGCACGCCGCCACGGGAAGAGCCGCUCUCACUGGAACGGCGCGGUGCCGCGUGCGCGCUGUACGUGCGCGCUUCUUCCUGAUUGCCGUCAACGUCGUCGUUGUCAUCGAGCGAUCGGUUCCAUGUCGCGCCGGCAUCUUGGCGUGUCAUCUCAAUGUCAUCGUCGCUGUGGCCAUCGUUGAUGUCUCGGGCAUGGUUGUCCACGGAUCCGCGCAUUGUCGCCAUUCGGCAUGUUGCCAUCCUUGAUGGCGUCGGCUCGAUACGUCGUGAAUGGCACAGUGCAAUGUGCCAAUGAGGCGCCCAGCACUGGCGACACGCAACGCAAACAAAAGAGCAGGAAAAGGAAAGAGAGAGCGAUUGCCCAGGGCGUGAGGCGACGACACGAGCCAGUCAGCGGGCAGAGGCGAAUAGGGGUUGGCCAGCAGCAAAGGAGAAAAAAAAAGAGAGAAUCGCGUACGGGCCGAGCAGAAAGCGCAGCGGGUGUGUGGCGCCUUGUCAGGCGGCGGCAGCGCGCGGACCGCGACGUUUUCCGUGUCGGCCGUAUGAUUUCCUCCUUUUUUUUGCAUUGGCGCCGGCCCGCACCAAGGCGGACCGGCCUCGACCAACCUACUACUCGCACUAGCGCCAAAGAAAAAAAGAAGGCGGUCAGAGAAACAGGACGGACCCAAGAGCCAAGUCCCUCAUUGACAUGCCUCACGCAAAAUGGCCCUGUCAUCAUUCAUACCAGCGAUAGCGGAUCGCUUAUGGCCUGCCCCCUUUUUUUUCCUCGUCCCUCCGAAUGGGGCUCUGUUUGUCGAUGGUUCGGUGCCCUCCUCUCUUUGCCCCUCGGGUCCCCGAAUCCAAAAAAAAAGCGACAUACUGACAGGCCUGUGUUUGCGAGGCACCAAAAGAGAAAGAGAGAAAAAACGAAACCGACGAGCCCCACGGCACAGACUGUUACCUCUUCUUGUCGGGUGUUGUUGCCAUAGCCGGCGACAGGCAACAGCUGCGUUUUUCACUAAAAGGAAAGGGGAAAAAAGAGCGGGUGAAAGGGGGCCCAAGAG
RNAcentral lists this long non-coding RNA (2069 nucleotides) under Pandoravirus neocaledonia. Its description in RNAcentral is "hypothetical ncRNA". The record is from RNAcentral.